UCAUUGANGAACNUACCGCCAUGGUGAAUAACCACCUCCAUAUCGCCCAUCACNCACAACAAUAUUCUACACCUACAAAUAACCCUAAAANGACAAAACACACCGCUUAUAAAACUGAUAAUGACACAACAAAAGAAAUGUAACUAUGGGGGACAUGGGGGACCACAACGCAUUAUGAAAACAGCAUAUCUUCAGACAACCCCAACCCCACAANGUACAAAGCAUCCCCACAUAACAAGAUAGACAUCACAAUAUUAAAAUCGUACUAACCUUCCACCGAUAUUAAAAUCGUCCCCUCGAAGAGCUCGAACCACUUGACG
Molecule: long non-coding RNA, 320 nt
Filed under: Vigna radiata
Lineage: Eukaryota; Viridiplantae; Streptophyta; Magnoliopsida; Fabales; Fabaceae
Description: long non-coding RNA (VRAD_LNC018497)
Source: RNAcentral